GGCAGAGGACCGGGCAAAGCAUGCUGUGCCGUUAAGGCUGGAUGUUAAGGUUCCGGUCAGGAUCGAGUUCGGGGCCGUUAAAAGCUGGAGUGUUACAGUGAAGGUGAGGUGUGAUGUCACGGUGGAUAAGCUGACUGCGGAUUCACGGAUUGUAUCCAAGAACUGCAGAAGUAGGGUGCACCUGUGAGAAUUGUGGCAUUUACAAA
This 206-nucleotide unclassified non-coding RNA is filed under the name Hevea brasiliensis (rubber tree). Lineage: Eukaryota; Viridiplantae; Streptophyta; Magnoliopsida; Malpighiales; Euphorbiaceae. The record is from RNAcentral.